AACGAACGCUGGCGGCAGGCCUAACACAUGCAAGUCGAGCGCACCUUCGGGUGAGCGGCGGACGGGUUAGUAACGCGUGGGAACGUACCCUUUCUACGGAAUAGCCUUUGGAAACGAAGAGUAAUACCGUAUACGCCCUUUUGGGGGAAAGAUUUAUCGGAGAAGGAUCGGCCCGCGUUAGAUUAGAUAGUUGGUGGGGUAACGGCCUACCAAGUCUACGAUCUAUAGCUGGUUUUAGAGGAUGAUCAGCAACACUGGGACUGAGACACGGCCCAGACUCCUACGGGAGGCAGCAGUGGGGAAUCUUAGACAAUGGGGGCAACCCUGAUCUAGCCGUGCCGCGUGAGUGAUGAAGGCCUUAGGGUCGUAAAGCUCUUUCGACAGGGAAGAUAAUGACGGUACCUGUAUAAGAAGCUCCGGCUAACUCCGUG
This 431-nucleotide ribosomal RNA is filed under the name uncultured bacterium. Its description in RNAcentral is "bacterial SSU rRNA". It matches the Rfam family "Bacterial small subunit ribosomal RNA", at positions 29 to 507 of the family's 1533-position model. The record is from RNAcentral.